Molecule: non-coding RNA, 630 nt
Filed under: Caenorhabditis japonica
Lineage: Eukaryota; Metazoa; Nematoda; Chromadorea; Rhabditida; Rhabditidae
Description: Eukaryotic small subunit ribosomal RNA
Rfam family: Eukaryotic small subunit ribosomal RNA
Source: Rfam by way of RNAcentral
UACCUGAUUGAUUCUGUCAGCGCGAUAUGCUCAAGUAAAAGAUUAAGCCAUGCAUGCUUUGAUUCAUAAAUGAAAUUGCGUACGGCUCAUUAGAGCAGAUAUCACCUUUCUCGGAAUCCUGAAAAGGAUAACUGCGGAAAUUCUGGAGCUAAUACAUGCGACUAUACUCCAACGCAAGGCGGGGUGCAAUUAUUAGAACAGACCAAACGUUUUCGGACGUUGUUUGUUGACUCUGAAUACCGUCGUUUACUGUCAGUUUCGACUGACUCUAUCCGAGAAGGGUGUCUGCCCUUUCAACUAGAUGGUAAUCUAUUGGACUACCAUGGUUGUUACGGGUAACGGAGAAUUAGGGUUCGACUCCGGAGAGGGAGCCUUAGAAACGGCUACCACGUCCAAGGAAGGCAGCAGGCGCGAAACUUAUCCACUGUUGAGUAUGAGAUAGUGACUAAAAAUAUAAAGACUCAUCCUUUUGGAUGAGUUAUUUCAAUGAGUUGAAUAUAAAUUAUUCUUCGAGUAGCAAGGAGAGGGCAAGUCUGGUGCCAGCAGCCGCGGUAAUUCCAGCUCUCCUAGUGUAUCUCGUUAUUGCUGCGGUUAAAAAGCUCGUAGUUGGAUCUAGGUUACGUGCCGCAG